Molecule: ribosomal RNA, 943 nt
Filed under: Leodice marcusi
Lineage: Eukaryota; Metazoa; Annelida; Polychaeta; Eunicida; Eunicidae
Description: partial 16S ribosomal RNA
Rfam family: Bacterial large subunit ribosomal RNA (bases 609-943)
Source: RNAcentral
UAUGAGCUGCAAUUUAUUUGUUUAGAACCCACUAGAUAAUGUCGCAAUAUUACUAAAAAAAUAAACCGCAGAGGCUACAUACCUACCGCAUAAAAACAUAGCUGGUUUUUCACUAACCUAGUCUAAGCUAAAUAAACUGAAAAAAAGAAAAUACUCCAGCCCUCAGUUAUACAACUAAAUCGAGGACAAGCCCGAUUUACCUACCUUAUUAAAAAAAAACAAAAAAAAAAGUAGGCCCAAAACCAGCCACCCAAAAAAUCGUCACAGUUAAAAAAAAAUAAAAAUAAAAAAAAAGAUAAAAAUAAAUGAAAUAUUAUAUAAAACCCAAUUAAUAAAAACCUAUGCAAAGAUAAGUAUUAAAUAUAAAACCCACCCAAAACUCCUACAUAUGCGAGGAAGGAACUCGGCAAAUAUAUACUCCGCCUGUUUAACAAAAACAUCGCCUGCUGAACCCCCAUAACAGGUAAAUCCUGCCCACUGAACUCUUUAACGGCCGCGGUAUACUGACCGUGCAAAGGUAGCAUAAUCACUUGCCUUUUAAUUGGAGGCUGGCAUGAAUGGAUACACGAGAGUACAGCUGUCUCCCUCACAAACAUAAAAAUUUAUCCCUAGGUGAAGAAGCCUAGAUCUAUAUAAAAGACAAGAAGACCCUGUCGAGCUUCAACCCCAAUAGCCAAAAUUACCCACAAUAAUAUAUGCUAAUAAAGGUUUUUGUUGGGGCAACAAAGGAACAAAAAAAUCUUCCUAAAAACAAAAGAUAAUAAAUCUCCCAAAUGACCCAAUACUUGAUCACUAAAAUCAGCUACCGCAGGGAUAACAGACUAAUUUUCCCCAAGAGCCCAAAUCUACAGGAAAGCUUGGCACCUCGAUGUUGGCUUAGGAUAUCUUUUAGGCGGAGAAGCCUAAAAAGAAGGUUUGUUCAACCUUUAAUCUCCUACAUGAG